RNAcentral lists this ribosomal RNA (445 nucleotides) under uncultured bacterium. Its description in RNAcentral is "partial 16S ribosomal RNA". It matches the Rfam family "Bacterial small subunit ribosomal RNA", at positions 354 to 796 of the family's 1533-position model. The record is from RNAcentral.
GUGAGGAAUAUUGGACAAUGGGCGCAAGCCUGAUCCAGCCAUGCCGCGUGCAGGAAGACGCAUCUAUGGUGUGUAAACUGCUUUUGUACGGGAAGAAACACUCCCUCGUGAGGGAGCUUGACGGUACCGUAAGAAUAAGGAUCGGCUAACUCCGUGCCAGCAGCCGCGGUAAUCCGGAGGAUCCAAGCGUUAUCCGGAAUCACUGGGUUUAAAGGGUCCGUAGGCGGUUUAAUAAGUCAGUGGUGAAAGCCCAUCGCUCAACGAUGGAACGGCCAUUGAUACUGUUAGACUUGAAUUACAAGGAAGUAACUAGAAUAUGUAGUGUAGCGGUGAAAUGCUUAGAUAUUACAUGGAAUACCAAUUGCGAAGGCAGGUUACUACUUGUGGAUUGACGCUGAUGGACGAAAGCGUGGGGAGCGAACAGGAUUAGAUACCCGAGUAGUCC